UCGCAAUGCGGCGUGCUAUACAUGCAAGUCGAGCGCGGGAAGCGAGCGGAUCCCCUUCGGGGGUGAAGCUCGUGGAACGAGCGGCGGACGGGUGAGUAACACGUGGGCAACCUACCUGUAAGAUCGGAAUAACCCCGGGAAACCGGGGCUAAUGCCGGGUAAUACUUUUCUUCGCAUGAAGGAAAGUUGAAAGAUGGCCUCUGGCUAUCACUUACAGAUGGGCCCGCGGCGCAUUAGCUAGUUGGUGAGGUAACGGCUCACCAAGGCGACGAUGCGUAGCCGACCUGAGAGGGUGAUCGGCCACACUGGGACUGAGACACGGCCCAGACUCCUACGGGAGGCAGCAGUAGGGAAUCUUCCGCAAUGGACGAAAGUCUGACGGAGCAACGCCGCGUGAACGAUGAAGGUCUUCGGAUCGUAAAGUUCUGUUGUUAGGGAAGAACAAGUGCCGUGCGAAUAGAGCGGCACCUUGACGGUACCUAACGAGGAAGCCCCGGCUAACUACGUGCCAGCAGCCGCGGUAAUACGUAGGGGGCAAGCGUUGUCCGGAAUUAUUGGGCGUAAAGCGCGCGCAGGCGGUUCCUUAAGUCUGAUGUGAAAGCCCACGGCUCAACCGUGGAGGGUCAUUGGAAACUGGGGAACUUGAGGACAGAAGAGGAGAGUGGAAUUCCACGUGUAGCGGUGAAAUGCGUAGAUAUGUGGAGGAACACCAGUGGCGAAGGCGACUCUCUGGUCUGUUUCUGACGCUGAGGUGCGAAAGCGUGGGUAGCAAACAGGAUUAGAUACCCUGGUAGUCCACGCCGUAAACGAUGAGUGCUAGGUGUUAGGGGGCUUCCACCCCUUAGUGCUGAAGUUAACGCAUUAAGCACUCCGCCUGGGGAGUACGGCCGCAAGGCUGAAACUCAAAGGAAUUGACGGGGGCCCGCACAAGCGG
This 934-nucleotide ribosomal RNA is filed under the name Halobacillus sp. RNAcentral's name for it is "bacterial SSU rRNA". It matches the Rfam family "Bacterial small subunit ribosomal RNA", at positions 33 to 932 of the family's 1533-position model. The record is from RNAcentral. Lineage: Bacteria; Bacillati; Bacillota; Bacilli; Caryophanales; Bacillaceae.